This 1560-nucleotide long non-coding RNA is filed under the name Fragaria vesca (wild strawberry). RNAcentral describes it as "long non-coding RNA (FVES_LNC004830)". The record is from RNAcentral. Lineage: Eukaryota; Viridiplantae; Streptophyta; Magnoliopsida; Rosales; Rosaceae.
AGUGGGUAUAAUUUUCAGUUGGGUUAAGUUUGGACCGGGUAUGUGGGCAGCCCAACAGUCCCCCCACUCCUCUCCCUCUCACCCUCACCCGUCUCUCCCCUCUCUCCCUCACCCGUGCACCCCGACCAAUCGGAGACCAAGCCUCUGACCGCCAUAGAUCGAAAUCUUUGGCUCAUCUUGUAGCCCUCAUCUCAAAAGGAAUUAGUCUAAUUCGAUCUUGUUAGGGUGAAAUGUAUAAUUGAAGUUCUAGGGAUUUAUGGAUGUUUUGGUUCUAUUACCCUAGUUAGGCUUAGAAAUGGACUUUGUGCUAGUUAAGGAAGCUGUUGUGCUGGUUGAGAGGAGUGUUGUGUUAACAUUUGAGAAGCAUUGGAGGUCGGCGGAAUACGGGAAUGCAUAAAUCUUUUCGAAAAGAUUAGGGGCAGUUUUUCAUGUUUUUUGGUUUGUUUUCAUGAGAGGAGUUUAAUGAAGUAUAAUUUGAAAUUUUUGGAGGAGUUUUGAUAAGGUUUGGAAUUUUUCAUUGGUUAAGGUUUGUGGCGGUUGUUAGUUUGGAAUUUCGGCAGUCGGUUUAGCAGGUUUUAAAGUCUAAAAAGGUUAAAUAAUGGCUUUCGGUAAGUGCGGAGUAAUGUGAGCCUUGUUAGGUAGAAAGUGGAGAAGUUGGGCAAGAGAAAUGAAAUUAUAGGCUUUCUUUUUUUAUUUCGGAAAUUUUAUUAAAGUUUUGUCCUGGUCUGGAGGCUUAAUAAUUAUUUAUUGUUUAGGACGUGAGGAGGAUCAUUUAGAGGAAGCCUCGGGUCAUCGGCAGGCAUAGCCGAGCACGAUGAGUGGACCCUUGAUUUGAAUGUUAUGCAUGCUCCAAAGUUUAAUUAAUUUCAAAGGCAUAUUGGAGAUUUAAUGUGUUGUGAGCAUAUUGGAGUUUUAUUAUUUUUCAUUGGAUUUAAUGAGUCCUAUUUUAUUUUCGAGAACUCUCUUGCUCAUUUUAUUUGACAUGUGGGACAUGUCAAGUGAUUUAUAUUAUUUUUGGGGAAGUGAUAUUCUUGAUCAUAUAUUAUUUUUACUUCACCAUAAAAGGGUUGAUUUAUACUGAUUAUUGCUAGCUGACCUUAUUAGCGGUUCACAUCAUAUGUGAGUCGCUAUUAUAGCCUUAUUACUGGUCUUCUUCAUAUGUGAGUAGAGCGCGUAGCGUGGGACGCUAUUAUAGCCUGGCCUAGGAGGCAACCGAUCGGUAUAUAUUUAUAUAUAUGAGGGCCCUUCCAUUGAGGGAUCCCUAUUUUUGACUAUUUCUAGGGAUAGGGCGUUACACCAACUUCCCGAUCAAAUUUUUGCAUCUACACCGUUCAAUUCAUUGGGUUAUAUGAGUAGAUCAUUUCUACAAAUUUUCAGAUAAUUUAGUGAUCGUUAACCCAUUCAAAACUUCGAUUUAUUUUUAAUGAUCUUGAACGGUCCAGGUUUGAUAUAGAGUGUGUAACUUUUUGUUUUAAUCUCAGCCAUCCAAUCUCAUUAAAUGACAGAUCCAAUGAUAUGGGUUUAUCCCUAAAAGUGACUAAAAAUAGGGAUCCCUCAAUA